This is a long non-coding RNA of Gadus morhua (Atlantic cod), 235 nucleotides long. RefSeq lists it as uncharacterized. The transcript has 3 exons. Lineage: Eukaryota; Metazoa; Chordata; Actinopteri; Gadiformes; Gadidae. The record is from RefSeq and is a predicted model, not a curated record.
CUUCUCACAGCCAAUCACAGUGUUUGGCUGUAGCCCUCCGUCUGUAACCCAGAUUGUGUUAUCUUUAGCUAGUUUUGAAGAGGUUUCGAUUUGUUUGGCUUUUGAAUUCAGAUCGAGUAUCUUCUGGGUCGACGGAUGAUGAUGACAUAAUUGAACGCCCUCUCCUGGAAGGACUGACCGCGGGAGCCGUAGAUGGACUAAAGACCAGGGUUCUACCAUACUGAAGUUGUAAGGU